CAAAAUGGCGUAUACCAGACUAGCUAGCUAGCUAGCUAGCGAAACAGGUUGUUUGCCUCGGCGGACGUUUGAGCGGGACAGCAUGAAACACUCCCAAAUGAGCAAGAAAAUGUUUGCAGACUUCAUCUACAAGUCAAGAGCGCGUGCGCGCGCCCCAGGAGAGUAAAGGAUGCUGCAGGUUGCACGAACGCGGACGCGCGUCCCCGUGAGAGGUAAGCAGCCCUCGUCCCGAUGAUGAUGAAAAGCAAGCAAAUGAGCGAGGCAGGCUCAUCUUACCUGCA
Long non-coding RNA from Syngnathus acus (greater pipefish), 281 nucleotides. RefSeq lists it as uncharacterized. The record is from RefSeq and is a predicted model, not a curated record. Lineage: Eukaryota; Metazoa; Chordata; Actinopteri; Syngnathiformes; Syngnathidae. The transcript has 3 exons.